RNAcentral lists this ribosomal RNA (253 nucleotides) under uncultured bacterium. Its description in RNAcentral is "partial 16S ribosomal RNA". It matches the Rfam family "Bacterial small subunit ribosomal RNA", at positions 524 to 776 of the family's 1533-position model. The record is from RNAcentral.
UACGAAGGGGGCUAGCGUUGUUCGGAAUUACUGGGCGUAAAGCGCGCGCAGGCGGCUAUCCAAGUCAGUGGUGAAAGCCCGGAGCUCAACUCCGGAACUGCCAUUGAAACUGUUUAGCUUGAGGACGAGAGAGGUGAGUGGAAUUCCCAGUGUAGAGGUGAAAUUCGUAGAUAUUGGGAAGAACACCGGUGGCGAAGGCGGCUCACUGGCUCGUUUCUGACGCUCAGGCGCGAUAGCGUGGGGAUCAAACAGG